Molecule: ribosomal RNA, 453 nt
Filed under: uncultured bacterium
Lineage: Bacteria
Description: partial 16S ribosomal RNA
Rfam family: Bacterial small subunit ribosomal RNA
Source: RNAcentral
GUAGGGAAUCUUCCACAAUGGGCGCAAGCCUGAUGGAGCAACGCCGCGUGAAUGAUGAAGGCCUUCGGGUUGUAAAAUUCUGUCUUCUGUGAAGAACAAGUGCGAGAAGAGAACGCUCGCGCCCUGACGGUAACAGAGGAGGAAGCCCCGGCUAACUACGUGCCAGCAGCCGCGGUCAUACGUAGGGUGCAAGCAUUAUCCGGAGUGACUGGGCGUAAAGAGUUGCGUAGGCGGUUAUGUAAGCGAAUAGUGAAACCUGGUGGCUCAACCACACAGACUAUUAUUCGAACUGCAUAACUCGAGAAUGGUAGAGGUAACUGGAAUUUCUUGUGUAGGAGUGAAAUCCGUAGAUAUAAGAAGGAACACCAAUGGCGUAGGCAGGUUACUGGGCCAUUUCUGACGCUAAGGCACGAAAGCGUGGGGAGCGAACCGGAUUAGAUACCCCAGUAGUCC